RNAcentral lists this ribosomal RNA (520 nucleotides) under uncultured Glomus. RNAcentral's name for it is "SSU rRNA". It matches the Rfam family "Eukaryotic small subunit ribosomal RNA", at positions 569 to 1092 of the family's 1831-position model. The record is from RNAcentral. Lineage: Eukaryota; Fungi; Glomeromycota; Glomeromycetes; Glomerales; Glomeraceae.
AGCAGCCGCGGUAAUUCCAGCUCCAAUAGCGUAUAUUAAAGUUGUUGCAGUUAAAAAGCUCGUAGUUGAAUUUCGGGAUCAAUAUGUUGGUCGUGCCUUGGUACGUACUAGUUUAUUGGUUUCUUCCUUCUGACGAACCAUGAUGUCAUUAAUUUGGUGUCUUGGGGAAUCAGGACUGUUACUUUGAAAAAAUUAGAGUGUUUAAAGCAGGCUCACGCUUGAAUACAUUAGCAUGGAAUAAUGAAAUAGGACGUUUGAUUCUAUUUUGUUGGUUUCUAGGAUCGACGUAAUGAUUAAUAGGGAUAGUUGGGGGCAUUAGUAUUCAAUUGUCAGAGGUGAAAUUCUUGGAUUUAUUGAAGACUAACUACUGCGAAAGCAUUUGCCAAGGAUGUUUUCAUUAAUCAAGAACGAAAGUUAGGGGAUCGAAGACGAUCAGAUAACCGUCGUAGUCUUAACCAUAAACUAUGCCGACUAGGGAUCGGAUGAUGUUAAUUUUUAAUGACUCAUUCGGCGCUUACGG